RNAcentral lists this long non-coding RNA (1762 nucleotides) under Betta splendens (Siamese fighting fish). Its description in RNAcentral is "lncRNA (ENSBSLG00000010238.1)". The record is from RNAcentral. Lineage: Eukaryota; Metazoa; Chordata; Actinopteri; Anabantiformes; Osphronemidae.
UGAAGAUAAUGGUCUCAUUUAGAGAGCGAUGCCCACAGGUAUGAGUAAUUACGAACGGCCAUUAUUCUCUGCCGUCUGUGGGCGUGUGUUUGUGUGCUGCGGAGGCCGCUCUUUCAGGCGCGUCCCAGCAGCACAUUACAAAGGUGUGGCUGCUGCGCGACAUCCAAAUGUGACACAUGAAAGGCGAGGGAGAAAAAAAAAAUAGCGUGGAUCAACAGAGGGUGUCUCAGCCACCGUUCCACUACUUUGCCGUGGAUCUGACAGAUGGCAUGGGCCCGUCUGAGGCCCUGGCAAUGAGGAGUUUAGUGGCUUCAAAGGCCCUCUGUAAUCUGCAGCAACAUCACAGGCUGGGAGAAAGUGACUGUCUCCCAGACACCCACCCCACUAAGAGGGCGAGCAACGCGCUAAUGAAAGGCAGAUAAAGGGAUCGCAGACAGCGCCUCGUGGAAAAAGGGAAAACAUCAGGGCAGCGUAUCACCUGCUAAUCAACACCUCACUGCGGGAGGCAGUUCUUCUGUUACGAACUCGCCCCGUCGGUUCCGAACCGGCGGGGCUUUGACGGAACCCUGGGGCAGGAGAGGGAAUGCGGUGGAGAGAGACGGUGACAGCACCCGCUCCAAGCGGGGAGAACUACGGCUCUCACGGAGCCGGGAGGAGAACGCGCUCACACUGAGCGGAGGCUUCAGGCACCACGGCCGACGCGCUUCCAGCACACAGCUCUGUGUAAUCCCUCACACAGACACCUGGCCGCAACCGGCAGACCAGGUCGCAGGGAACACAGGAGAGGGGGGGAGACCCCAAAUGCACGACCCAACACAGAAGGUACAAUUACAUAAACAGGUUUAUUCAAGUACAAACAAAACUCACUGCACAGCAGGACUCAGUUCAACACAAAGGAAGAACUAAAAAUCACUGCAAUGCAGGAAAACGAUUAACAACCUAAACUCACUAGACUAAACGCUCCGUACACUACGGGCAGAAACCUACACAUGAACACAAGACAUAAACUGAGGACAACUAAGAACUACGUACAGCACUGUCUAACAGGCACUAACAAAACACGCUCCGUAACACGGGCAAAACCUAAACAUGAAACAUAAGACAGUCACAAAACUUACGUGGUGGGACAGGACAUCAACAAAACCAAAACUCCUUGCAGCAUAAACUCUCCUCAACGUAACAACGGGGUAGCAUCCAGCUACACCCAGAGUACACACCAGCAAUGUGUCCAACACAAAACAUCCCUUAAAUACAAAUCAAACAGGUGGGUCAACUAAUUACACAGGAAAUUAAACUCAAACCCACACCAAAAAAGUCCCAAGAGCGCCUCUAGCGGCGUGGAGGCUGAAUGUCACAUCUUCUGCACUUAUGCUCUAAACACUUUCAUGCAAGUAUAAAUAAUAUCAUUUAUUAAUAUAUAUCAUUUUGCAUUUGAUGUUUGCCAAUGGUGCAGUUAUUUUCUCCACUGGGCUGAACUCCGGCCUCGGAUUGAAGGCGGGUCAGCACAGACGCCCCCUGCUGGUUCCACAACCUCCUAGUUGUUCUGAUCUUGAACCUUUCUCUCCAACCCCGACUCGUGGAUCAGCCUGGAACCCUCUUAUCUGCUGCUCCUGGCUCCUUCCCUCGACCAGCUACACCGUGCGUGUUCCAGGAGGCGACUGUUAACAGUCGCUGAGUUCCACGUGUUCCGGCAGCGCGUUCCCAGCGCAGCUGAGCAGCACCGCGAGCCAAGGCAAUUAACAAUUAACACUGUACAGAUCCU